RNAcentral lists this ribosomal RNA (251 nucleotides) under uncultured bacterium. RNAcentral describes it as "partial 16S ribosomal RNA". It matches the Rfam family "Bacterial small subunit ribosomal RNA", at positions 88 to 339 of the family's 1533-position model. The record is from RNAcentral.
CUAGAGACCGGCGCACGGGUGCGUAACACGUAUGCAACCUACCCUUUACUGGGGCAUAGCUCAGAGAAAUCUGAAUUAAUUCCCCAUAACAUUAUUGAAUGGCAUCAUUUGAUAAUUAAAGCUGAGGCGGUAAAGGAUGGGCAUGCGUUGCAUUAGCUAGUUGGUGAGGUAAUGGCUCACCAAGGCUACGAUGCAUAGGGGUUCUGAGAGGAUGAUCCCCCACACUGGUACUGAGACACGGACCAGACUCC